This 392-nucleotide ribosomal RNA is filed under the name uncultured bacterium. RNAcentral's name for it is "partial 16S ribosomal RNA". It matches the Rfam family "Bacterial small subunit ribosomal RNA", at positions 523 to 918 of the family's 1533-position model. The record is from RNAcentral.
AUACGUAGGGGGCGAGCGUUGUCCGGAUUUACUGGGCGUAAAGGGUGAGUAGGCGGUUAUAUAAGUCAGAUGUAAAAGGCACAGGCUUAACUUGUGUAAGCAUUUGAAACUGUAUAACUUGAGUGCAGGAGAGGUAAGUGGAAUUCCUAGUGUAGCGGUGAAAUGCGUAGAUAUUAGGAGGAACACCAGUGGCGAAGGCGACUUACUGGACUGUAACUGACGCUGAGUCACGAAAGCGUGGGUAGCAAACAGGAUUAGAUACCCUGGUAGUCCACGCUGUAAACGAUGAGUGCUAGGUGUUGGGUAGCGAUACUCAGUGCCGAAGUAAACACAAUAAGCACUCCGCCUGGGGAGUACGGUCGCAAGACUGAAACUCAAAUGAAUUGGCGGGG